AUUGAACGCUGGCGGCAUGCCUUACACAUGCAAGUCGAACGGCAGCGCGGGGCAACCUGGCGGCGAGUGGCGAACGGGUGAGUAAUAUAUCGGAACAUACCCUAGAGUGGGGGAUAACGUAGCGAAAGUUACGCUAAUACCGCAUACGCACUAAGGUGGAAAGUGGGGGAUUCGCAAGAACCUCAUGCUCAUGGAGUGGCCGAUAUCUGAUUAGCUAGUUGGUGAGGUAAAGGCUCACCAAGGCAACGAUCAGUAGCUGGUUUGAGAGAACGACCAGCCACACUGGAACUGAGACACGGUCCAGACUCCUACGGGAGGCAGCAGUGGGGAAUUUUGGACAAUGGGGGCAACCCUGAUCCAGCAAUGCCGCGUGAGUGAAGAAGGCCUGGUGUAAG
Molecule: ribosomal RNA, 395 nt
Filed under: uncultured bacterium
Lineage: Bacteria
Description: bacterial SSU rRNA
Rfam family: Bacterial small subunit ribosomal RNA
Source: RNAcentral